This 478-nucleotide ribosomal RNA is filed under the name uncultured bacterium. RNAcentral describes it as "partial 16S ribosomal RNA". It matches the Rfam family "Bacterial small subunit ribosomal RNA", at positions 28 to 523 of the family's 1533-position model. The record is from RNAcentral.
GACGAACGCUGGCGGCGCGCCUAACACAUGCAAGUCGAGCGAUGAAACUUCUUCGGAAGUGGAUUAGCGGCGGACGGGUGAGUAACACGUGGGCAACCUACCUCAUAGUGGGGAAUAGCCUCUCGAAAGGGAGAUUAAUACCGCAUAAGAUUGUAGCUUCGCAUGAAGCAGCAAUUAAAGGAUUUAUUCGCUAUGAGAUGGGCCCGCGGCGCAUUAGCUAGUUGGUGAGGUAACGGCUCACCAAGGCGACGAUGCGUAGCCGACCUGAGAGGGUGAUCGGCCACAUUGGGACUGAGACACGGCCCAGACUCCUACGGGAGGCAGCAGUGGGGAAUAUUGCACAAUGGGGGAAACCCUGAUGCAGCAACGCCGCGUGAGUGAUGACGGUCUUCGGAUUGUAAAACUCUGUCUUUGGGGACGAUAAUGACGGUACCCAAGGAGGAAGCCACGGCUAACUACGUGCCAGCCGCCGCCGUAA